CACGCCCUAAACGAUGAAUACUCGUUGUUGGCGAUAUACAGUCAGCGACUAAGCGAAAGCGUUAAGUAUUCCACCUGGGGAGUACGUUCGCAAGAAUGAAACUCAAAGAAAUUGGCGGGGGUCCGCACAAGCGGUGGAUUAUGUGGUUUAAUUCGAUGAUACGCGAGGAACCUUACCAGGGCUAGAAUGGGAGGAGAAUAUGGGUGAAAGCUCAUAGCUAGCAAUAGCUGCUUCCAAGGUGC
RNAcentral lists this ribosomal RNA (242 nucleotides) under uncultured bacterium. RNAcentral describes it as "partial 16S ribosomal RNA". It matches the Rfam family "Bacterial small subunit ribosomal RNA", at positions 796 to 1041 of the family's 1533-position model. The record is from RNAcentral.